RNAcentral lists this ribosomal RNA (449 nucleotides) under uncultured bacterium. RNAcentral describes it as "bacterial SSU rRNA". It matches the Rfam family "Bacterial small subunit ribosomal RNA", at positions 30 to 481 of the family's 1533-position model. The record is from RNAcentral.
AUUGAACGCUGGCGGCAUGCCUUACACAUGCAAGUCGAACGGCAGCGGACCUUCGGGUGCCGGCGAGUGGCGAACGGGUGAGUAAUAUAUCGGAACGUACCUUUCAGUGGGGGAUAACGUAGCGAAAGUUACGCUAAUACCGCAUAUUCUGUGAGCAGGAAAGCAGGGGAUCGCAAGACCUUGCGCUGAUUGAGCGGCCGAUAUCAGAUUAGCUAGUUGGUGAGGUAAAGGCUCACCAAGGCGACGAUCUGUAGCGGGUCUGAGAGGAUGAUCCGCCACACUGGAACUGAGACACGGUCCAGACUCCUACGGGAGGCAGCAGUGGGGAAUUUUGGACAAUGGGCGCAAGCCUGAUCCAGCCAUGCCGCGUGAGUGAAGAAGGCCUUCGGUCGUAGUAAGUCUUCGUUCGGUACCGGGAAGAACGUACGACACGUAAGUUAACCUAACCG